This 301-nucleotide ribosomal RNA is filed under the name uncultured bacterium. RNAcentral's name for it is "partial 16S ribosomal RNA". It matches the Rfam family "Bacterial small subunit ribosomal RNA", at positions 509 to 807 of the family's 1533-position model. The record is from RNAcentral.
CAGUCGCCGCGGUAAUACGUAGGUGGCAAGCGUUGUCCGGAAUUAUUGGGCGUAAAGGGCUCGCAGGCGGUUUCUUAAGUCUGAUGUGGAAGCCCCCGGCUCAACCGGGGAGGGUCAUUGGAAACUGGGAAACUCGAGUGCAGAAGAGGAGAGUGGAAUUCCACGUGUAGCGGUGAAAUGCGUAGAGAUGUGGAGGAACACCAGUGGCGAAGGCGACUCUCUGGUCUGUAACUGACGCUGAGGAGCGAAAGCGUGGGGAGCGAACAGGAUUAGAUACCCCUGUAGUCCCUGUCUCUUAUAC